RNAcentral lists this ribosomal RNA (1555 nucleotides) under Shigella sonnei. RNAcentral describes it as "bacterial SSU rRNA". It matches the Rfam family "Bacterial small subunit ribosomal RNA". Lineage: Bacteria; Pseudomonadati; Pseudomonadota; Gammaproteobacteria; Enterobacterales; Enterobacteriaceae. The record is from RNAcentral.
AAAUUGAAGAGUUUGAUCAUGGCUCAGAUUGAACGCUGGCGGCAGGCCUAACACAUGCAAGUCGAACGGUAACAGGAAGCAGCUUGCUGCUUCGCUGACGAGUGGCGGACGGGUGAGUAAUGUCUGGGAAACUGCCUGAUGGAGGGGGAUAACUACUGGAAACGGUAGCUAAUACCGCAUAACGUCGCAAGACCAAAGAGGGGGACCUUCGGGCCUCUUGCCAUCGGAUGUGCCCAGAUGGGAUUAGCUUGUUGGUGGGGUAACGGCUCACCAAGGCGACGAUCCCUAGCUGGUCUGAGAGGAUGACCAGCCACACUGGAACUGAGACACGGUCCAGACUCCUACGGGAGGCAGCAGUGGGGAAUAUUGCACAAUGGGCGCAAGCCUGAUGCAGCCAUGCCGCGUGUAUGAAGAAGGCCUUCGGGUUGUAAAGUACUUUCAGCGGGGAGGAAGGGAGUAAAGUUAAUACCUUUGCUCAUUGACGUUACCCGCAGAAGAAGCACCGGCUAACUCCGUGCCAGCAGCCGCGGUAAUACGGAGGGUGCAAGCGUUAAUCGGAAUUACUGGGCGUAAAGCGCACGCAGGCGGUUUGUUAAGUCAGAUGUGAAAUCCCCGGGCUCAACCUGGGAACUGCAUCUGAUACUGGCAAGCUUGAGUCUCGUAGAGGGGGGGUAGAAUUCCAGGUGUAGCGGUGAAAUGCGUAGAGAUCUGGAGGAAUACCGGUGGCGAAGGCGGCCCCCUGGACGAAGACUGACGCUCAGGUGCGAAAGCGUGGGGAGCAAACAGGAUUAGAUACCCUGGUAGUCCACGCCGUAAACGAUGUCGACUUGGAGGUUGUGCCCUUGAGGCGUGGCUUCCGGAGCUAACGCGUUAAGUCGACCGCCUGGGGAGUACGGCCGCAAGGUUAAAACUCAAAUGAAUUGACGGGGGCCCGCACAAGCGGUGGAGCAUGUGGUUUAAUUCGAUGCAACGCGAAGAACCUUACCUGGUCUUGACAUCCACAGAACUUUCCAGAGAUGGAUUGGUGCCUUCGGGAACUGUGAGACAGGUGCUGCAUGGCUGUCGUCAGCUCGUGUUGUGAAAUGUUGGGUUAAGUCCCGCAACGAGCGCAACCCUUAUCCUUUGUUGCCAGCGGUCCGGCCGGGAACUCAAAGGAGACUGCCAGUGAUAAACUGGAGGAAGGUGGGGAUGACGUCAAGUCAUCAUGGCCCUUACGACCAGGGCUACACACGUGCUACAAUGGCGCAUACAAAGAGAAGCGACCUCGCGAGAGCAAGCGGACCUCAUAAAGUGCGUCGUAGUCCGGAUUGGAGUCUGCAACUCGACUCCAUGAAGUCGGAAUCGCUAGUAAUCGUGGAUCAGAAUGCCACGGUGAAUACGUUCCCGGGCCUUGUACACACCGCCCGUCACACCAUGGGAGUGGGUUGCAAAAGAAGUAGGUAGCUUAACCUUCGGGAGGGCGCUUACCACUUUGUGAUUCAUGACUGGGGUGAAGUCGUAACAAGGUAACCGUAGGGGAACCUGCGGUUGGAUCACCUCCUUACCUUAAAGAAGC